This 239-nucleotide ribosomal RNA is filed under the name uncultured bacterium. Its description in RNAcentral is "partial 16S ribosomal RNA". It matches the Rfam family "Bacterial small subunit ribosomal RNA", at positions 95 to 334 of the family's 1533-position model. The record is from RNAcentral.
CCGGCGCACGGGUGAGUAACACGUAUCCAACCUGCCGUCUACUCUUGGACAGCCUUCUGAAAGGAAGAUUAAUACAAGAUGGCAUCAUGAGUUCACAUGUUCACAUGAUUAAAGGUAUUCCGGUAGACGAUGGGGAUGCGUUCCAUUAGAUAGUAGGCGGGGUAACGGCCCACCUAGUCUUCGAUGGAUAGGGGUUCUGAGAGGAAGGUCCCCCACAUUGGAACUGAGACACGGUCCAA